This 465-nucleotide ribosomal RNA is filed under the name uncultured bacterium. RNAcentral describes it as "partial 16S ribosomal RNA". It matches the Rfam family "Bacterial small subunit ribosomal RNA", at positions 28 to 507 of the family's 1533-position model. The record is from RNAcentral.
GACGAACGCUGGCGGCGUGCUUAACACAUGCAAGUCGAACGGAAAGGCCCUGCUUGCAGGGUACUCGAGUGGCGAACGGGUGAGUAACACGUGGGUGAUCUGCCCUGCACUUCGGGAUAAGCCUGGUAAACUGGGUCUAAUACCGGAUAGGAGCCAUUUUUAGCGUGAUGGUUGGAAAGUUUUUUCGGUGUUGGAUGAGCUCGCGGCCUAUCAGCUUGUUGGUGGGGUAAUGGCCUACCAAGGCGGCGACGGGUAGCCGGCCUGGGGGGGUGGACGGCCACAUUGGGACUGAGAUACGGCCCAGACGCCGACGGGAGGCAGCAGUGGGGAAUAUUGCACAAUGGGCGCAAGCCUGAUGCAGCGACGCCGCGUGGGGGAUGACGGCCUUCGGGUUGGAAACACCUUUCGCUAGGGACGAAGCUUUUUGUGACGGUACCUAGAUAAGAAGCACCGGCUAACUACGUG